CAUGGUGGCGCAACCCGGGCAUACCGGUUGGUAGAAAUACUAAGCGCUAUUGUUAUAUAGCCUACACUGUUCACAGUUUCCACCAUGGCACAGAGGUGGUGGUGUGUGCAGCAGCAGCACAGGUAACGGUCCAAGACAGGAGAAAACAGGUUGGUAGAAAACGAGUUGUAAAGCAAAGUUAUUUAUAUUUACCUUUGCAAGACGACUAUGUGCCUUUUUCAAAAAUAUACUACAUCUUGAUAUGGUUACAUGUUUUUGAUUGCAGUGGUAUAUGGAACUGGACAGUUCUGUUUUAAGGUUGUGGAGAGCAGUGCGAGGAGAGGUUGACACUGAGUGGUCCUGUGAGUCAGGAACAACUGGCUGGAAAUGAAUACUUGCACAUGGUCAAGGACCUUGCAGAGAUGAGGCAUGAUGGACUGGAAGGGUUGCCAGGCAGUAUUGGGCUUGAACGCAGGGUGCCAUUUUGUGUUAGCGGACAGAAACCGAGAUAUUACUCGAACAUUUCCUGGGACAGUGCCCUGACAGCCAGCACCCAGAUUACGUUUCUUUAGUUGGACCUUCUUUUUAUUUGUGACGCCCCUCACAUGUAUGUUACAGCUAGUGUUUGUUUGAAGGCCUGAAUGAUACCUCUGUUGAUUUGUUAAUGUAAUAUGUAUAAAGAUUGUUUUAGGAAGAAUGGAUGAGGGUCAGUGAACAUUAAGGUGUGAUAGUGCUUUACUGUCCACACCACAGUUCACCAGUGUAGAACUCUACAGGUCUUUAGUACAGGUCUGUGGAUGUUGGAGGUCUACACUAAUCCAAAAGUAAGGUGAGGUACGUUUAUUUGCACAUUUCAGACGCAGAGGCAAUUCAAAGUGCUUUCCAUGAUUAUUAAAACAUGAUAAUAGAACAGAGAGGAACACAAUAAAUAAACAUAAUGCAAUAACAGUUUCAUAAAAACAAUGCAUUAAUGAGAUAUAAAAUAGUUUAAAAAGGACAUUGUAAAUAUGGUAAGUGCUAAAACAAGUUAAAAGGCUUCUGGGUAAGCUGUAAAAAGUAGUGUUUUUAGCCUCGACUUAAAAGAACUCAGCGUUGGUGAAGACCUCAGGUUCUCUGGAAGUUUAUUCCAUUUGUGGGGAGCAUAAAAACUAAAAGCAGCUUCGGCGUGUUUGGUUCUGAGCCGGGGAGUAAGUUCCAGGGACAGCUAUACAUCUGAAAUGCAGAAUUGAUCUACAUUGUUUAAUUACAUUGUGAAAAGGUACCUUCUCAGAAGGCAACACAACAAAAAGGUGGUCCAUUAAAUGUGUUUUCCUUUGGUCAAUCAUAGAAAGGAAAGGUAUGAAUCAUGACUAAAUCAAGGAUGAGGAUGUCAACUACUUAAUGUACAAUAAAUAAUGCAUUACUUAUUGAAUUGCUUUACAUUGGGCUGUUACAGGUCCCUUUAGACAUGAUAGUCUGGUUACUCAUUGCUACUGCCUAUCCACUAUUGGUAAGAUGAUAUGGGGGGCUGAUGUAGGCUUUUGAUGAUGGGCUCUGUUUCAAAAGAAAUACAUAUACAUUAAGGGUUGAAUACAUAUACAGUAAGGGUUGAAUACAUAUACAUUAAGGGUUGAAUACAUAUACAUUAAGGGUUGAAUACAUAUACAUUAAGAGUUGAAUACAUAUACAGUAAGGGUUGAAUACGUAUACAUUAAGGGUUGAAUACAUAUACAUUAAGGGUUGAAUACAUAUACAGUAAGAGUUGAAUACAUAUACAGUAAGGGUUGAAUACAUAUAAAGGAAGGGUUGAAUACAUAUACAGUAAGGGUUGAAUACAUAUACAGUAAGGGUU
Gymnodraco acuticeps is the source of this 1810-nucleotide long non-coding RNA. RefSeq lists it as uncharacterized. The transcript is spliced from 4 exons. NCBI's taxonomy places the organism in Eukaryota, Metazoa, Chordata, Actinopteri, Perciformes, Bathydraconidae. The record is from RefSeq and is a predicted model, not a curated record.